Molecule: ribosomal RNA, 407 nt
Filed under: uncultured Gardnerella sp.
Lineage: Bacteria; Bacillati; Actinomycetota; Actinomycetes; Bifidobacteriales; Bifidobacteriaceae
Description: bacterial SSU rRNA
Rfam family: Bacterial small subunit ribosomal RNA
Source: RNAcentral
GUGGGGAAUAUUGCGCAAUGGGGGAAACCCUGACGCAGCGACGCCGCGUGCGGGAUGAAGGCCUUCGGGUUGUAAACCGCUUUUGAUUGGGAGCAAGCUUUCGGGUGAGUGUACCUUUCGAAUAAGCGCCGGCUAACUACGUGCCAGCAGCCGCGGUAAUACGUAGGGCGCAAGCGUUAUCCGGAAUUAUUGGGCGUAAAGAGCUUGUAGGCGGUUCGUCGCGUCUGGUGUGAAAGCCCAUCGCUUAACGGUGGGUCUGCGCCGGGUACGGGCGGGCUAGAGUGCAGUAGGGGAGACUGGAAUUCCCGGUGUAACGGUGGAAUGUGUAGAUAUCGGGAAGAACACCAAUGGCGAAGGCAGGUCUCUGGGCUGUUACUGACGCUGAGAAGCGAAAGCGUGGGGAGCGA